UCCCUCCAGGAUGAUGAGAUCAUCAUCUAUAUACUAGUUGGACUUAGAUCAGAAUUUGACCCCCUGGUGACCUUCAUCAGUACCAGAACUGAUCCUAUAAGUCUCACCGACAUUUAUGCUCAUCUCUUGAGCUAUGAGA
Small nucleolar RNA from Dioscorea cayenensis subsp. rotundata (Guinea yam), 139 nucleotides. RefSeq annotates it as small nucleolar RNA Z247. Lineage: Eukaryota; Viridiplantae; Streptophyta; Magnoliopsida; Dioscoreales; Dioscoreaceae. The transcript has a single exon. The record is from RefSeq and is a predicted model, not a curated record.